GACGAACGCUGGCGGCGCGCCUAACACAUGCAAGUCGAACGAGCGAGAGAGAGCUUGCUUUCUCAAGCGAGUGGCGAACGGGUGAGUAACGCGUGAGGAACCUGCCUUAAAGAGGGGGACAACAGGUUGGAAACGACUGCUAAUACCGCAUAAGCCCACAGUUCGGUCAUCGAGCAGAGGGAAAAGGAGUGAUCCGCUUUGAGAUGGCCUCGCGUCCGAUUAGCUAGUUGGUGAGGUAACGGCCCACCAGGGCGACGAUCAGUAGCCGGACUGAGAGGUUGACCGGCCACAUUGGGACUGAGAUACGGCCCAG
This 313-nucleotide ribosomal RNA is filed under the name uncultured bacterium. RNAcentral describes it as "bacterial SSU rRNA". It matches the Rfam family "Bacterial small subunit ribosomal RNA", at positions 28 to 334 of the family's 1533-position model. The record is from RNAcentral.